ACCUACGGGACGCAGCAGUGGGGAAUAUUGCACAAUGGGGGAAACCCUGAUGCAGCGACGCCGCGUGAGUGAAGAAGUAUUUCGGUAUGUAAAGCUCUAUCAGCAGGGAAGAAAUACUGACCUUACGGUCAGCAGACGGAACCUGACUAAGAAGCCCCGGCUAACUAUGUGCCAGCAGCCGCGGUAAUACGUAGGGGGCAAGCGUUAUCCGGAUUUACUGGGUGUAAAGGGAGCGUAGACGGCGUGCCAAGUCUGAUGUGAAAGGCCGGGGCUCAACCCCGGGACUGCAUUGGAAACUGGCAUGG
RNAcentral lists this ribosomal RNA (305 nucleotides) under uncultured bacterium. RNAcentral describes it as "bacterial SSU rRNA". It matches the Rfam family "Bacterial small subunit ribosomal RNA", at positions 337 to 641 of the family's 1533-position model. The record is from RNAcentral.